GUUUAUAUAGUUUAACUUAAAACAAUUCAUUUUCAUUGAAUAGAAGGGUAAUGCCCUAUAAAUA
Molecule: transfer RNA, 64 nt
Filed under: Leptoglossus membranaceus
Lineage: Eukaryota; Metazoa; Arthropoda; Insecta; Hemiptera; Coreidae
Description: tRNA-Glu
Rfam family: tRNA
About the family: Transfer RNA (tRNA) molecules are approximately 80 nucleotides in length. Their secondary structure includes four short double-helical elements and three loops (D, anti-codon, and T loops).
Source: RNAcentral